AGAAAGUUAGUCUAAUCAAGACAGUUGAUUUCGGCUCAACAAAUUAUAGCUUACAAUCUAUAACUUUCUU
RNAcentral lists this transfer RNA (70 nucleotides) under Eulacestoma nigropectus (wattled ploughbill). Its description in RNAcentral is "tRNA-Arg". Lineage: Eukaryota; Metazoa; Chordata; Aves; Passeriformes. The record is from RNAcentral.